Molecule: ribosomal RNA, 460 nt
Filed under: uncultured bacterium
Lineage: Bacteria
Description: partial 16S ribosomal RNA
Rfam family: Bacterial small subunit ribosomal RNA
Source: RNAcentral
CCUACGGGAGACAGCAGUGAGGAAUAUUGGUCAAUGGACGCAAGUCUGAACCAGCCAUGCCGCGUGCAGGAAGACGGCCCUAUGAGUUGUAAACUGCUUUUGUACGAGGGCAAACGCAGAUACGUGUAUCUGUCUGCAUGUAUCCUACGAAAAAGGAUCGGCUAACUCCGUGCCAGCAGCCGCGGUAAUACGGAGGAUUCAAGCGUUAUCCGGAUUUAUUGGGUUUAAAGGGUGCGUAGGCGGUCGGAUAAGUUAGAGGUGAAAUCCCGAGGCUCAACUUCGGAAGUGCCUCUGAUACUGUUCGACUAGAGAGUAGGAGCGGUAGGCGGAAUGUGUGGUGUAGCGGUGAAAUGCUUAGAGAUCGUACAGAACACCGAUUGCGAAGGCAGCUUACCGGGGUACUUCUGACGUUGAGGCACGAAAGCGUGGGGAGCGAACAGGAUUAGAUACCCCUGUAGUC